RNAcentral lists this ribosomal RNA (497 nucleotides) under uncultured bacterium. RNAcentral describes it as "partial 16S ribosomal RNA". It matches the Rfam family "Bacterial small subunit ribosomal RNA", at positions 28 to 507 of the family's 1533-position model. The record is from RNAcentral.
GAUGAACGCUGGCGGCGUGCCUAAUACAUGCGAGUCGAGCGAACAGACGAGGAGCUUGCUCCUCUGACGUUAGCGGCGGACGGGUGAGUAACACGUGGAUAACCUACCUAUAAGACUGGGAUAACUUCGGGAAACCGGAGCUAAUACCGGAUAAUAUAUUGAACCGCAUGGUUCAAUAGUGAAAGACGGUUUUGCUGUCACUUAUAGAUGGAUCCGCGCCGCAUUAGCUAGUUGGUAAGGUAACGGCUUACCAAGGCAACGAUGCGUAGCCGACCUGAGAGGGUGAUUGGCCACACUGGAACUGAGACACGGUCCAGACUCCUACGGGAGGCAGCAGUAGGGAAUCUUCCGCAAUGGGCGAAAGCUUGACGGAGCAACGCCGCGUGAGUGAUGAAGGUCUUCGGAUCGUAAAACUCUGUUAUUAGGGAAGAACAAAUGUGUAAGUAACUAUGCACGUCUUGACGGUACCUAAUCAGAAAGCCACGGCUAACUACGUG